CCUACGGGUGGCAGCAGUGAGGAAUAUUGGUCAAUGGCCGCAGGGCUGAACCAGCCAAGUCGCGUGAGGGAUGACGGCCCUAUGGGUUGUAAACUUCUUUUGUCAGGGAGCAAAGGGCGCCACGCGUGGCGCUUUGCGAGUACCUGAAGAAAAAGCAUCGGCUAACUCCGUGCCAGCAGCCGCGGUAAUACGGAGGAUGCGAGCGUUAUCCGGAUUUAUUGGGUUUAAAGGGUGCGCAGGCGGAAUGUCAAGUCAGCGGUAAAAUUGUGGAGCUCAACCCCGUCCUGCCGUUGAAACUGGCGUUCUUGAGUGAGCGAGAAGUAUGCGGAAUGCGUGGUGUAGCGGUGAAAUGCAUAGAUAUCACGCAGAACUCCGAUUGCGAAGGCAGCAUACCGGCGCUCAACGGACGCUGAUGCACGAAAGCGUGGGUAUCGAACAGGAUUAGAUACCCGUGUAGUC
RNAcentral lists this ribosomal RNA (459 nucleotides) under uncultured bacterium. RNAcentral's name for it is "partial 16S ribosomal RNA". It matches the Rfam family "Bacterial small subunit ribosomal RNA", at positions 338 to 795 of the family's 1533-position model. The record is from RNAcentral.